RNAcentral lists this ribosomal RNA (484 nucleotides) under uncultured bacterium. RNAcentral's name for it is "partial 16S ribosomal RNA". It matches the Rfam family "Bacterial small subunit ribosomal RNA", at positions 30 to 507 of the family's 1533-position model. The record is from RNAcentral.
AUUGAACGCUGGCGGCAGGCCUAACACAUGCAAGUCGAGCGGAUGAAGGGAGCUUGCUCCUGGAUUCAGCGGCGGACGGGUGAGUAAUGCCUAGGAAUCUGCCUGGUAGUGGGGGAUAACGUCCGGAAACGGGCGCUAAUACCGCAUACGUCCUGAGGGAGAAAGUGGGGGAUCUUCGGACCUCACGCUAUCAGAUGAGCCUAGGUCGGAUUAGCUAGUUGGUGGGGUAAAGGCCUACCAAGGCGACGAUCCGUAACUGGUCUGAGAGGAUGAUCAGUCACACUGGAACUGAGACACGGUCCAGACUCCUACGGGAGGCAGCAGUGGGGAAUAUUGGACAAUGGGCGAAAGCCUGAUCCAGCCAUGCCGCGUGUGUUAAGAAGGUCUUCGGAUUGUAAAGCACUUUAAGUUGGGAGGAAGGGCAGUAAGUUAAUACCUUGCUGUUUUGACGUUACCAACAGAAUAAGCACCGGCUAACUUCGUG